This 1112-nucleotide ribosomal RNA is filed under the name uncultured bacterium. RNAcentral describes it as "bacterial SSU rRNA". It matches the Rfam family "Bacterial small subunit ribosomal RNA", at positions 20 to 1182 of the family's 1533-position model. The record is from RNAcentral.
UGGCUCAGGACGUACGCUGGCGGCACCNUUACACAUGCAAGUCGAACGAAGUAGCAAUACUUAGUGGCAGACGGGUGAGUAACAUGUAGGUAUCUGCCCUUUGGCCUGGAAUAACACGAGGAAACUUGUGCUAAUACCGGAUAAGUCUUUACGGAGAAAGCUUUAUGCACCAUUGGAUGAGCCUGCACUUGAUUAGUUUGUUGGUGGGGUAAUGGCCUACCAAGACUGUGAUCAAUAGCUGAUUUGAGAGGAUGAUCAGCCACAUUGGGACUGAGACACGGCCCAAACUCCUACNGGAGGCAGCAGUGGGGAAUCUUGCACAAUGGAGGAAACUCUGAUGCAGCGAUGCCACGUGAGUGAAGAAGGCCUUUGGGUUGUAAAGCUCUUCUCGUCGGGGAAGAAAAUGACUGUACCCGAAUAAGAAGGUCCGGCUAACUUCGUGCCAGCAGCCGCGGUAAUACGAAGGGACCUAGCGUAGUUCGGAAUUACUGGGCUUAAAGAGUUCGUAGGUGGUUGAAAAAGUUAGUGGUGAAAUCCCAGAGCUUAACUCUGGAACUGCCAUUAAAACUUUUUAGCUAGAGUAUGAUAGAGGAAAGCAGAAUUUCUAGUGUAGAGGUGAAAUUCGUAGAUAUUAGAAAGAAUACCAAUUGCGAAGGCAGCUUUCUGGAUCAUUACUGACACUGAGGAACGAAAGCAUGGGUAGCGAAGAGGAUUAGAUACCCUCGUAGUCCAUGCCGUAAACGAUGUGUGUUAGACGUUGGAAAUUUAUUUUCAGUGUCGCAGCGAAACAUUAAACACACCGCCUGGGGAGUACGACCGCAAGUUAAAACUCAAAUGAAUUGACGGGGGCCCGCACAACGUGGAGCAUGUGGUUUAAUUCGAAGAUACGCGCAGAACCUUACCAACACUUGACAUGUUCGUCGCGACUCUAAGAGAUUAGAGUUUUCGGUUCGGCCGGACGAAACACAGGUGCUGCAUGGCUGUCGUCAGCUCGUGUCGUGAGAUGUUGGGUUAAGUCCCGCAACGAGCGCAACCCUCACUUUUAGUUGCCAUCAUUAAGUUGGGCACUCUGAAAGAACUGCCAGUGAUAAGCUGGAGGAAGGUGGGGCUGG